CGAGCUCAGGCUGCCGAAACGCGCGGCCGGGGAUUUGCUCCCAACGCCGCAGCCCCGGGAGCGAGUCCCUAUCGCUCGCCCCAGCCCCUCCGGCCGGGGAACACGGCCCGCCGGCAUCUUCCUCUCCCAGGUGCCACCAAAAUCGCAGCCACCGGAGCCAUGUCUGCCGCCACCGCGAAGGCCGCGAGCGCCCGGACGGCUGCCACCACCGCCGCCGGGGUCCAGCCCGUCCUCGCCACGCUGGAGCCGCAGGACGCCAGGGCCAACGACUGCGCCUGCAAGGGGCCGGAUAAUCCGGAGGAGAAGCCACCCAUCCCACACGAGCCCUCGGAAAAGGUGGUGGCAGAGACCAGGGAGCCGGUGGCGGCCGC
This 371-nucleotide long non-coding RNA is filed under the name Apteryx owenii (little spotted kiwi). RNAcentral describes it as "lncRNA (ENSAOWG00000007380.1)". Lineage: Eukaryota; Metazoa; Chordata; Aves; Apterygiformes; Apterygidae. The record is from RNAcentral.